Molecule: ribosomal RNA, 461 nt
Filed under: uncultured bacterium
Lineage: Bacteria
Description: partial 16S ribosomal RNA
Rfam family: Bacterial small subunit ribosomal RNA
Source: RNAcentral
CCUACGGGUGGCAGCAGUGAGGAAUAUUGGUCAAUGGGCUUACGCCUGAACCAGCCAAGUCGCGUGAGGGAAGACUGCCCUAUGGGUUGUAAACCUCUUUUGUCAGGGAGCAACGCCGGCUACGUGUAGCCGGACUGAGAGUACCUGACGAAAAAGCAUCGGCUAACUCCGUGCCAGCAGCCGCGGUAAUACGGAGGAUGCGAGCGUUAUCCGGAUUUAUUGGGUUUAAAGGGAGCGUAGACGGCAGCGCAAGUCUGGAGUGAAAUGCCGGGGCCCAACCCCGGAACUGCUUUGGAAACUGUGCAGCUGGAGUGCAGGAGAGGUAAGCGGAAUUCCUAGUGUAGCGGUGAAAUGCGUAGAGAUUAGGAGGAACACCAGUGGCGAAGGCGGCCUGCUGGACGAUGACUGACGUUGAGGCUCGAAAGCGUGGGGAGCAAACAGGAUUAGAUACCCCUGUAGUC